AAAAAUCAGAUUUUUGCCCAUGCUCAGUUGGGGGAACGUGCAAGACCCCUUGGGCAGAAAAAUAUCCAACUUUGUUGACCAAAAGUUGCAUGCCAACUCAUUUUUCCCAAUGCCACAAAUUGAACAAGAGAGAGAAGCUCUCAUCUUCUCCAACUAGAGAAAGAGAGCCACGGCCAUGGAAGCUCCACCACCAAAAAAAAAAAAAAACAGUUUUCUUCCUCAAAUCAACUCCUCAUCUAGUGUACAAGAACGUGUAGUAGUUGUUGGAAAGAAACAAGGAGGUGUAGCACCUCAAUAGGGUUGAAGAUUCGGCCAAAGUGAAGAACAAGUUGUAAGGAUAAGUGUAUUUGGGCAGCAAGUACAAGUUAGAAUACAACUAAACGCUAAAGGUACAGACGUUCAUUUCGGAGAUCCGCCAGCUUAGGACACUUAUUCAGCUAUUUUGACUGCUCCUUUGUUCCGGAGCCUAGCUUGUGGUAUAACUCCCUUAUGUUGAAUUCAUAUGAGUUUAUUUGGGUACGGCGGGGCCCUGUCCCGCCAUAUGAUACGGUCAUUACUCUUAGAGGUCUGUGGACAUUUGUGUGGGUCUGUUUAUGGUUGUUGACGCGUUUUAUGAUUAUGACAUAUGUUUGGGGCGUA
This is a long non-coding RNA of Lycium barbarum (goji berry), 639 nucleotides long. RefSeq lists it as uncharacterized. Lineage: Eukaryota; Viridiplantae; Streptophyta; Magnoliopsida; Solanales; Solanaceae. The record is from RefSeq and is a predicted model, not a curated record. The transcript has 3 exons.